UGCCAUGAUAAAACACUGACCACAAGCAAUG
RNAcentral lists this non-coding RNA (31 nucleotides) under Mus musculus (house mouse). Lineage: Eukaryota; Metazoa; Chordata; Mammalia; Rodentia; Muridae. The record is from RNAcentral.